GAUGAACGCUGGCGGCGUGCAUAACACAUUCAAGUCGAACGGUGAUUUCCUUCGGGGAUGAUCAGUGGCGGACGGGUGAGUAACGCGUGAGCAACCUGCCCUUGUGUGGGGGACAACAGCUGGAAACGGCUGCUAAUACCGCAUAACGUUACGGGAACGCAUGUUUCUGUAACCAAAGAUUUAUUGCGCAAGGAUGGGCUCGCGUUGGAUUAGAUAGUUGGUGAGGUAACGGCUCACCAAGUCGACGAUCCAUAGCCGGACUGAGAGGUUGAACGGCCACAUUGGAACUGAGAAACGGUCCAG
Molecule: ribosomal RNA, 303 nt
Filed under: uncultured bacterium
Lineage: Bacteria
Description: bacterial SSU rRNA
Rfam family: Bacterial small subunit ribosomal RNA
Source: RNAcentral